This 164-nucleotide small RNA is filed under the name Sphenodon punctatus (tuatara). Its description in RNAcentral is "TUC338 (ENSSPUG00000002579.1)". The record is from RNAcentral. Lineage: Eukaryota; Metazoa; Chordata; Lepidosauria; Sphenodontia; Sphenodontidae.
UUGAUUGUCCUGUAGACUGAGGUCUUCUCUUCACAGAACAGGUGACAUGAGCAGCAGCAGUCCAAACCUCACCUUCACUGCCCAGCUAAUGCAAUGCAGUUUAUCACUCUACACACACAGUGAGAACAGGGCCAGGUUUAAGGCACAACAAAUAUAGAGCAGUU